This 253-nucleotide ribosomal RNA is filed under the name uncultured bacterium. RNAcentral's name for it is "partial 16S ribosomal RNA". It matches the Rfam family "Bacterial small subunit ribosomal RNA", at positions 524 to 776 of the family's 1533-position model. The record is from RNAcentral.
UACGUAGGGUGCGAGCGUUAAUCGGAAUUACUGGGCGUAAAGGGUGCGCAGGCGGUUAUAUAAGACAGAUGUGAAAUCCCCGGGCUCAACCUGGGAACUGCGUUUGUGACUGUAUGACUAGAGUACGGUAGAGAGGGGUGGAAUUCCUGGUGUAGCAGUGAAAUGCGUAGAGAUGUGGAGGAACACGAUGGCGGAAGGCAGCCCCCUGGGUCAAGAUUGACGCUCAUGCACGAAAGCGUGGGGAGCAAACAGG